UACGUAGGGGGCAAGCGUUGUCCGGAAUCAUUGGGCGUAAAGCGCGUGUAGGCGGUUAUCCAAGUCGGGUGUGAAAGCCUUGAGCUCAACUCAAGAAAUGCAUUCGGUACUGGGUGACUAGAGGACCGGAGAGGAUAGUGGAAUUCCCAGUGUAGUGGUGAAAUACGUAGAUAUUCGGAAGAACACCAGUGGCGAAGGCGGCUCACUGGACUGGUAUUGACGCUGAGGUGCGAAAGCGUGGGGAGCAAACAGG
This 253-nucleotide ribosomal RNA is filed under the name uncultured bacterium. RNAcentral's name for it is "partial 16S ribosomal RNA". It matches the Rfam family "Bacterial small subunit ribosomal RNA", at positions 524 to 776 of the family's 1533-position model. The record is from RNAcentral.